CCCGAUGGACAGCAGUGGUGUGCAGGAGAGCCAGGGGGAGAAGGCCUAGCUUCCCAAGAACUCCACCUUGUGUGUCUCUCAGGCGUGAGGCGCACCCUGUGUACACCACGCUGCGUGUUAAUAUUAAUUAGUUAUGGGAACCUCGUCAGGGACUGCUCAUGAGUUCCAUGUGGUCCUGCCCACUCUCAAUCCUCAAGGUUCUGUCCCCCAUUUUGUAGUUGAGAACGACGACAUGGGUUACUCAACUUGCCAGUAGGCAUUGUGCCACCCCCACAUGCACAGGUCUCACAGCUGCUACUCCGGCACCACGUCUGCCUGCAUGACAUCCUGCGCCCCGUCAUGACGAUAGCGGACUGAACCUCUGAAACUUUUGGUUUGAGGUGGCCCCUGUGGUGGCAGCAAGAUGAGAAGCUGGGAAGGAGACAGACUGUGAGCAUGUCCAGCACUGUGGCGGGGCUGUCCCAGCAGCUAACGCAGAGCAGAGCACUCAGGGAUGAACACCGAGGAAGACUCCCCAAAGAAGUAACAGUCAUGCCAACAUCUUCAACGGAUUCCAUUUCGGUGAAAAGAGCAGGGUGUUUCUUGAUGUACAAAGAAGGAACUGGGAAGAGACCAGUAAGCCCAGAGCAUGCAAGAAAAAGAUGAAAGCCAUUGUCUUCUUUCACCUGUAUUUUGAUUUCUGACUUUACUAAUAGUCCCUUGUACCACUGGUAUUAGUAUCAGUUUUUAAUAGCUUCUCAACUGCUAGAUUUUUCCCCCUUUACUAUCCUUUGCCUCACUUUAAUAAAAAUAUUUA
This is a long non-coding RNA of Mesocricetus auratus (golden hamster), 796 nucleotides long. RefSeq lists it as uncharacterized. The record is from RefSeq and is a predicted model, not a curated record. The transcript has 3 exons. Lineage: Eukaryota; Metazoa; Chordata; Mammalia; Rodentia; Cricetidae.